RNAcentral lists this ribosomal RNA (505 nucleotides) under uncultured bacterium. Its description in RNAcentral is "partial 16S ribosomal RNA". It matches the Rfam family "Bacterial small subunit ribosomal RNA", at positions 28 to 507 of the family's 1533-position model. The record is from RNAcentral.
GACGAACGCUGGCGGCGUGCCUAAUACAUGCAGGUAGAACGCACAGUUUAUACCGUAGCUUGCUCCACCAUAGACUGUGAGUUGCGAACGGGUGAGUAACGCGUAGGUAACCUGCCUGGUAGCGGGGGAUAACUAUUGGAAACGAUAGCUAAUACCGCAUAAUAUUAAUUAUUGCAUGAUAAUUAAUUGAAAGGUGCAAUUGCACCACUACCAGAUGGACCUGCGUUGUAUUAGCUAGUAGGUGAGGUAACGGCUCACCUAGGCGACGAUACAUAGCCGACCUGAGAGGGUGAUCGGCCACACUGGGACUGAGACACGGCCCAGACUCCUACGGGAGGCAGCAGUAGGGAAUCUUCGGCGAUGGACGAAAGUCUGACCGAGCAACGCCGCGUGAGUGAAGAAGGUUGUCGGAUCGUAAAGCUCGGUUGUAAGAGAAGAACGGGUGUGAGAGUGGAAAGUUCACACUGUGACGGUAUCUUACCAGAAAGGGACGGCUAACUACGUG